GACGAAGAACGUAGUGAAAUGCGAUAAGUAAUGUGAAUUGCAGAAUUCAGUGAAUCAUCGAAUCUUUGAACGCACAUUGCGCCCAUUAGUAUUCUAGUGGGCAUGCCUGUUCGAGCGUCAUUAAUUCCACUUAAGCCCUGCUUAGUGUUGGGAAUCUACUCUAGUGGUGCUACCCUGGAGCUACCCCUGAAAGGGGGCUGGCCCGGUAGCUACCCUGUAGUUCCUCAAAGAUAGUGCGCGGAGUUGCGUGGUCCUCUGAGCUUAGUAACUAUACACCUAGCUUUUGAGUGUCCCGCGGCGCCUGCCGUUUAAACCCCAUCUUUUAAUGGUUGACCUCGGAUCAGGUAGGAAUACCCGCUGAACUUAAGCAUAUCAAUAAGCGGAGGA
This 387-nucleotide unclassified non-coding RNA is filed under the name soil metagenome. RNAcentral's name for it is "partial contains 5.8S ribosomal RNA, internal transcribed spacer 2, and large subunit ribosomal RNA". The stretch from base 1 to 120 matches the Rfam family "5.8S ribosomal RNA", at positions 35 to 154 of the family's 154-position model. The record is from RNAcentral.